This 837-nucleotide ribosomal RNA is filed under the name Apiospora phragmitis. RNAcentral's name for it is "partial large subunit ribosomal RNA". It matches the Rfam family "Eukaryotic large subunit ribosomal RNA", at positions 78 to 943 of the family's 3401-position model. The record is from RNAcentral. Lineage: Eukaryota; Fungi; Ascomycota; Sordariomycetes; Amphisphaeriales; Apiosporaceae.
CCCUAGUAACGGCGAGUGAAGCGGGAACAGCUCAAAUUUGAAAUCUGGCCCUUGGGUCCGAGUUGUAAUUUGCAGAGGAUGCUUUUGGUGCGGUGCCUUCCGAGUUCCCUGGAACGGGACGCCUUAGAGGGUGAGAGCCCCGUACGGUUGGCCACCAAGCCUGUGUAAAGCUCCUUCGACGAGUCGAGUAGUUUGGGAAUGCUGCUCAAAAUGGGAGGUAUAUUUCUUCUAAAGCUAAAUACUGGCCAGAGACCGAUAGCGCACAAGUAGAGUGAUCGAAAGAUGAAAAGCACUUUGAAAAGAGGGUUAAAUAGCACGUGAAAUUGUUGAAAGGGAAGGAUUUAUGACCAGACUUUUUCUAGGGGGAUCAUCCGGUGUUCUCACCGGUGCACUUCCCCUAGUUGAGGCCAGCAUCGGUUUCUGUCGGGGGAUAAAAGCUUCAGGAAUGUGGCUCCUUCGGGAGUGUUAUAGCCUGUUGCAUAAUACCCUGACGGGGACCGAGGUUCGCGCAUUGCAAGGAUGCUGGCGUAAUGGUUAUUAAUCACCCGUCUUGAAACACGGACCAAGGAGUCGAACAUUUGUGCGAGUGUUUGGGUGUUAAACCCUCACGCGUAAUGAAAGUGAACGGAGGUGAGAGCCCUUCGGGGUGCAUCAUCGACCGAUCCUGAUGUCUUCGGAUGGAUUUGAGUAAGAGCAUAACUGUUCGGACCCGAAAGAUGGUGAACUAUGCGUGGAUAGGGUGAAGCCAGAGGAAACUCUGGUGGAGGCUCGCAGCGGUUCUGACGUGCAAAUCGAUCGUCAAAUCUGCGCAUGGGGGCGAAAGACUAAUCGAACCAU